RNAcentral lists this ribosomal RNA (616 nucleotides) under uncultured bacterium. RNAcentral describes it as "bacterial SSU rRNA". It matches the Rfam family "Bacterial small subunit ribosomal RNA", at positions 338 to 946 of the family's 1533-position model. The record is from RNAcentral.
CCUACGGGAGGCAGCAGUGGGGAAUUUUGGACAAUGGGCGCAAGCCUGAUCCAGCAAUGCCGCGUGCAGGAUGAAGGCCUUCGGGUUGUAAACUGCUUUUGUACGGAACGAAACGGCUCUUUCUAAUAAAGAGAGCUAAUGACGGUACCGUAAGAAUAAGCACCGGCUAACUACGUGCCAGCAGCCGCGGUAAUACGUAGGGUGCGAGCGUUAAUCGGAAUUACUGGGCGUAAAGCGUGCGCAGGCGGUUAUAUAAGACAGAUGUGAAAUCCCCGGGCUCAACCUGGGACCUGCAUUUGUGACUGUAUAGCUAGAGUACGGUAGAGGGGGAUGGAAUUCCGCGUGUAGCAGUGAAAUGCGUAGAUAUGCGGAGGAACACCGAUGGCGAAGGCAAUCCCCUGGACCUGUACUGACGCUCAUGCACGAAAGCGUGGGGAGCAAACAGGAUUAGAUACCCUGGUAGUCCACGCCCUAAACGAUGUCAACUGGUUGUUGGGUCUUCACUGACUCAGUAACGAAGCUAACGCGUGAAGUUGACCGCCUGGGGAGUACGGCCGCAAGGUUGAAACUAGAAAGUAGUGCGNGNGAGAGCGACGACGACGACGAGGAGGAGGAG